UUUAAGACUUGGUAGCAGAUUACAGUAAGGAUGCCUUUUAUAUUAUGUAUGUUCCUGUGUGCCCGGCUAAAUUGUAUAUGUGUAUGCAGCAUUCACUGAUUGUUCGGUAGAAUCACUCCAUUCAUUAUAUUGAGUGAAACUACCGAACAGCCAGACCACCCGGGAAUAAGUGUGCCUCCAAUUACCCGUUUGCAACAUUGUUGCAAACGG
Molecule: non-coding RNA, 210 nt
Organism: Pelobates cultripes (western spadefoot toad)
Lineage: Eukaryota; Metazoa; Chordata; Amphibia; Anura; Pelobatidae
Source: the annotation of a GenBank genome assembly